CAGACUCCGACUUUGAUUUCUGUUUUCUGCUCUGGGAUAGAGCCUGGCACGUUCAUGCAAAUGUCUACCAUCUGCACAGCGGCAGCAGCUCUUUCUGAAGAGGAGUGGUGUCCAUUGUGGAAAGGAGCAGAUGGAAGAGUUGAUAGUGCUCAGUGUUCUCUUAAAGGAGUUUGUGAUUCUGGUCAGAAAUCACACGUUCCUUAUGACCGGGAUAAAGUGCCACUUCACUGAGUCAGGGGAGAAGAAGAAAACACGCUCAAGAGGAGCCAAUAAUGGAAAUCUUAUCAGGAUUUUAAUAUUUUCUUUGCUAAAUUUCACCCUUGAAUCACACCCAUUGCCUCAGAUCCCUCACAUUUUCCAUGUCUAUUUAAAACAGUCCAUCCAAGUGAUUUGUGGCACCCUUGAGCCAAUUUGCAGACUGUCCUGGUGUCUAAAUCCAGGUAUGAUCUGCAUAUGGCGAAUGUGGUGCCUGUGCUCUUUCUGUCCAUGGUCCUUGUAAAAUCAUUGUUAC
This 511-nucleotide long non-coding RNA is filed under the name Crocodylus porosus (Australian saltwater crocodile). RNAcentral describes it as "lncRNA (ENSCPRG00005004573.1)". Lineage: Eukaryota; Metazoa; Chordata; Crocodylia; Crocodylidae. The record is from RNAcentral.